AUGGUUAAGUUAGAAAGGGCGCACGGUGGAUGCCUUGGCACUAGGAGCCGAUGAAGGACGGGACGAACACCGAUAUGCUUCGGGGAGCUGUAAGCAAGCUUUGAUCCGGAGAUUUCCGAAUGGGGAAACCCACUGCUCGUAAUGGAGUAGUAUCCAUACUUGAAUACAUAGAGUAUGAGAAGGCAUACCCGGGGAACUGAAACAUCUAAGUACCCGGAGGAAGAGAAAGCAAAUGCGAUUCCCUGAGUAGCGGCGAGCGAAACGGGAACAGCCCAAACCAAGAGGCUUGCCUCUUGGGGUUGUAGGACACUCUAUACGGAGUUACAAAGGAACGAUAUAAGCGAAGAGGUCUGGAAAGGCCCGCCAAAGAAGGUAACAGCCCUGUAACUGAAAUGUUGUUCUCUCCAGAGUGGAUCCUGAGUACGGCGGAACACGUGAAAUUCCGUCGGAAUCCGGGAGGACCAUCUCCCAAGGCUAAAUACUCCCUAGUGACCGAUAGUGAACCAGUACCGUGAGGGAAAGGUGAAAAGCACCCCGGAAGGGGAGUGAAAUAGAUCCUGAAACCGUGUGCCUACAAGUAGUCAGAGCCCGUUAAAGGGUGAUGGCGUGCCUUUUGUAGAAUGAACCGGCGAGUUACGAUCCCGUGCAAGGUUAAGCAGAAGAUGCGGAGCCGCAGCGAAAGCGAGUCUGAAUAGGGCGCAUGAGUACGUGGUCGUAGACCCGAAACCAGGUGAUCUACCCAUGUCCAGGGUGAAGUUCAGGUAACACUGAAUGGAGGCCCGAACCCACGCACGUUGAAAAGUGCGGGGAUGAGGUGUGGGUAGGGGUGAAAUGCCAAUCGAACCUGGAGAUAGCUGGUUCUCUCCGAAAUAGCUUUAGGGCUAGCCUCAAGGUAAGAGUCUCGGAGGUAGAGCACUGAUUGGACUAGGGGCCCCUACCGGGUUACCGAAUUCAGUCAAACUCCGAAUGCCGAUGACUUAUCCUUGGGAGUCAGACUGCGAGUGAUAAGAUCCGUAGUCGAAAGGGAAACAGCCCAGACCGCCAGCUAAGGUCCCAAAGUAUACGUUAAGUGGAAAAGGAUGUGGAGUUGCUUAGACAACCAGGAUGUUGGCUUAGAAGCAGCCACCAUUUAAAGAGUGCGUAAUAGCUCACUGGUCGAGUGACUCUGCGCCGAAAAUGUACCGGGGCUAAACGUAUCACCGAAGCUGCGGACUGUUCUAACGAACAGUGGUAGGAGAGCGUUCUAAGUGCUGUGAAGUCAGACCGGAAGGACUGGUGGAGCGCUUAGAAGUGAGAAUGCCGGUAUGAGUAGCGAAAGACGGGUGAGAAUCCCGUCCACCGAAUGCCUAAGGUUUCCUGAGGAAGGCUCGUCCGCUCAGGGUUAGUCGGGACCUAAGCCGAGGCCGAAAGGCGUAGGCGAUGGACAACAGGUUGAUAUUCCUGUACCACCUCCUCACCAUUUGAGCAAUGGGGGGACGCAGGAGGAUAGGGUAAGCGCGGUAUUGGAUAUCCGCGUCCAAGCAGUUAGGCUGGGAAAUAGGCAAAUCCGUUUCCCGUGAAGGCUGAGCUGUGAUGGCGAGCGAAAUUUAGUAGCGAAGUUCCUGAUUCCACACUGCCAAGAAAAGCCUCUAGCGAGGUGAGAGGUGCCCGUACCGCAAACCGACACAGGUAGGCGAGGAGAGAAUCCUAAGGUGAUCGAGAGAACUCUCGUUAAGGAACUCGGCAAAAUGACCCCGUAACUUCGGGAGAAGGGGUGCUUCUUAGGGUGUUAAAGCCCCGAGAAGCCGCAGUGAAUAGGCCCAGGCGACUGUUUAGCAAAAACACAGGUCUCUGCGAAGCCGUAAGGCGAAGUAUAGGGGCUGACGCCUGCCCGGUGCUGGAAGGUUAAGAGGAGCGCUUAGCGUAAGCGAAGGUGCGAAUUGAAGCCCCAGUAAACGGCGGCCGUAACUAUAACGGUCCUAAGGUAGCGAAAUUCCUUGUCGGGUAAGUUCCGACCCGCACGAAAGGCGCAACGAUCUGGGCACUGUCUCAACGAGAGACUCGGUGAAAUUAUAGUACCUGUGAAGAUGCAGGUUACCCGCGACAGGACGGAAAGACCCCGUGGAGCUUUACUGCAGCCUGAUAUUGAAUGUUGGUACAGCUUGUACAGGAUAGGUAGGAGCCUUGGAAACCGGAGCGCUAGCUUCGGUGGAGGCAUCGGUGGGAUACUACCCUGGCUGUAUUGA
RNAcentral lists this ribosomal RNA (2225 nucleotides) under Bacillus pumilus. RNAcentral's name for it is "partial 23S ribosomal RNA". It matches the Rfam family "Bacterial large subunit ribosomal RNA", at positions 1 to 2217 of the family's 2925-position model. The record is from RNAcentral. Lineage: Bacteria; Bacillati; Bacillota; Bacilli; Caryophanales; Bacillaceae.